CUGGCAUGGGAUUUGAGUCACAAGCCUACACUGUACUUUGGAGCUCCCUUCUGCCCUCGGAAGUCCUGCAAAGGGCUGUGCUUCCUUGUACGACGACGAAGAGAAAAGGUCCCCAGCAGUCUCUUACAGACAGGUGCUCUCCUGGGGGAAACCCUCCCUUAAGAGUCACUAGGGGCAGUUGGGGUUUGGGUCAGAGAGGGCAGAUGGGCGCUGUCAGGACUGGCCUUUGGGACUUUCUGGGGGUUGAGGGAGGAGGACCUCUGAUAGAAACUUAUCUUCUCCUGAAGUUUAUUUAAAGCCAGACAAUCACCUUUAUAAUGGUUGCUAUUUAUCAGCUGCCAUAUGCCAGGCCCUCAAACACUUUAUCUCAUUUAAUCCUUAAGGAACUGUGGGCAGGGGGCAUUAUCAUCCCUAAUUGACACGUGAGGCCGCUGAGACCUGGAGAAGCUAAGGAACCUGCCCCAUCGUAGGUGGAGGAGAUGCUGGACCCCUGGGCUGGAGGAAUGGACCCACCCCAUAACUUUAGGAAGAAUUUGGGACAACAUAUUUCUUUAGGCUUUUCCUUCAUCGAUAUUUUUAGGUGACUUCCAUUUAGGUGAGGCUUUAAUUUGGUUUUGAAAGGAAAUACUCUAAUGUAUCCGUCCUUGGUGCAGAACAGUAACACUGCCCCCCUGAAAUGGAAACAAUCUUGCCUUCUCCUUGCGCUCUUGCAGCCUGCCGCUUUCUGUUUAUGAACGUGGCAACCCGCCUUUCCUUCUGCCUGGGAAUGUGAAGGCUCCAGUGUUUUUAUUUUUCUAACUCCUUGUGAUAACCUUGGGCUGGGGCAUUAUGUACUCGAAGCUCGAGGCUAAAUAAAUCAGCUCACAUCCUUGAGUCCCUGUUGUCACCACAUUGGACAUUGAACUUGAUGGAGUCCCUUGAUGGAAACCAAGUGUGAACCCUGGGGAUGGGCUUGCACAACCCAAGGAAGGACAGCCAAGGACAUGAAAAUAAUCUUUGGCUCGGAGCCCCGGAAUGGAGUCGGAACAACAGAGAGCGAGUAUUUCCAGACAAGUGAGGAAAUUCCCAGAAGCUAGCGGCCAGGGAGCGUGAAUCCUGGAGAACAGGCUUGAGAUGAAGAAAGGAUUCCACAUCUCCUACGAAGCUGCUGAUUUUCCUUCCUCCCUCAGCAGCGACCCUCCGAACUUCCCACUCACAGCCUCCAGUGGGGUUAUUAAUCCCCUUCUGGUGGCACUCAACCUGCCACGAUGCUGCCUCCCAGCUGACACCACCAAUGACAGCAAUGACAACCGCUACAGGAAUUGCUUUCCAGGGUUCCAAGAAGGUUUCAGCUGCACGACGCCCUUCACUCCUCACAAUAGACACGGGAAAAUGGGUAGAUUCUAGGUUAUUUUUCUAAAGAUGCAUGUAUUAGGUUAUGGUAUACAUUUGGCUGUUUUGAGACAUCACAUAUUUGAAAAAAAGAUUUUUGCUGUUGUUGACCAAUAUACAAUAAAGCUUUUUAGGGGGUUAUAUAAUCUACACUACUUCUUUACCAUCAGAAAACCUGGGAGUCGAAUGUGAAUAUAAUAACACCAUUUACUUUCAUUUUCUCUCUACCGCAGGGUAAGAAUAAAUACCUUGCAUUUU
Long non-coding RNA from Equus asinus (donkey), 1629 nucleotides. Lineage: Eukaryota; Metazoa; Chordata; Mammalia; Perissodactyla; Equidae. The record is from Ensembl.